RNAcentral lists this ribosomal RNA (561 nucleotides) under uncultured Alphaproteobacteria bacterium. RNAcentral describes it as "bacterial SSU rRNA". It matches the Rfam family "Bacterial small subunit ribosomal RNA", at positions 338 to 916 of the family's 1533-position model. The record is from RNAcentral. Lineage: Bacteria; Pseudomonadati; Pseudomonadota; Alphaproteobacteria.
CCUACGGGAGGCAGCAGUGGGGAAUAUUGGACAAUGGGCGCAAGCCUGAUCCAGCAAUGCCGCGUGAGUGAUGAAGGCCUUCGGGUUGUAAAGCUCUUUUACCAGGGAUGAUAAUGACAGUACCUGGAGAAUAAGCUCCGGCUAACUCCGUGCCAGCAGCCGCGGUAAUACGGAGGGAGCUAGCGUUGUUCGGAAUUACUGGGCGUAAAGCGCACGUAGGCGGCGACUCAAGUCAGAGGUGAAAGCCCGGGGCUCAACCCCGGAACUGCCUUUGAAACUAGGUUGCUAGAAUCUUGGAGAGGUCAGUGGAAUUCCGAGUGUAGAGGUGAAAUUCGUAGAUAUUCGGAAGAACACCAGUGGCGAAGGCGACUGACUGGACAAGUAUUGACGCUGAGGCGCGAAAGCGUGGGGAGCAAACAGGAUUAGAUACCCUGGUAGUCCACGCCGUAAACGAUGAUAACUAGCUGUCCGGGCACUUGGUGCUUGGGUGGCGCAGCUAACGCAUUAAGUUAUCCGCCUGGGGAGUACGGUCGCAAGAUUAAAACUCAAAGGAAUUGACGG